CCAAUAGCGUAUACUAAAGUUGUUGCAGUUAAAAAGCUCGUAGUUGAAUUUCGGGGUUCAUCCGUUGGUCGGGCUUUUUUGGUCUGUACUGGCGUGAUGGAUUCCUACCUUCUGAAUAACCAGCAUGUCAUUAAUUUGGUGCGCUGGGGAAGCAGGACUGUUACCUUGAAAAAAUUAGAGUGCUUAAAGCAGGCUAUCGCCUGAAUACAUUAGCAUGGAAUAAUGAAAUAGGACGGCAUGGUUCUAUUUUGUUGGUUUCUAGGAUCACCGUAAUGAUUAAUAGGGAUAGUUGGGGGCAUUAGUAUUCAAUUGUCAGAGGUGAAAUUCUUGGAUUUAUUGAAGACUAACUUCUGCGAAAGCAUUUGCCAAGGAUGUUUUCAUUAAUCAAGAACGAAAGUUAGGGGAUCGAAGACGAUCAGAUACCGUCGUAGUCUUAACCAUAAACUAUGCCGACUAGGGGUCGGACGAUGUUAAUUUUUUAAUGACUCGUUCGGCGCCUUACG
Molecule: ribosomal RNA, 503 nt
Filed under: uncultured Glomeromycotina
Lineage: Eukaryota; Fungi; Glomeromycota
Description: partial small subunit ribosomal RNA
Rfam family: Eukaryotic small subunit ribosomal RNA
Source: RNAcentral